UAGAAAGUGGUGUAUUAGGAAGCACAUAGAGUUUUGAUCUCUUUAGGAUGGGUUCAAGUCCCUUUUUUCUAA
This 72-nucleotide transfer RNA is filed under the name Neocyema erythrosoma. RNAcentral's name for it is "tRNA-Gln". It matches the Rfam family "tRNA". Rfam says of the family: Transfer RNA (tRNA) molecules are approximately 80 nucleotides in length. The record is from RNAcentral. Lineage: Eukaryota; Metazoa; Chordata; Actinopteri; Anguilliformes; Cyematidae.